AGAGGAUGUAUAGGGUGUGACGCCUGCCCGGUGCUCGAAGGUUAAUUGAUGGGGUUAGCAUUAGCGAAGCUCUUGAUCGAAGCCCGAGUAAACGGCGGCCGUAACUAUAACGGUCCUAAGGUAGCGAAAUUCCUUGUCGGUUAAAUACCGACCUGCAUGAAUGGCGUAACGAGAUGGGAGCUGUCUCAAAGAGGGAUCCAGUGAAAUUGUAGUGGAGGUGAAAAUUCCUCCUACCCGCGGCAAGACGGAAAGACCCCGUGGACCUUUACUACAGCUUGACACUGCUACUUGGAUAAGAAUGUGCAGGAUAGGUGGGAGGCUUUGAGUAUAUGACGCCAGUUGUAUAGGAGCCAUUGUUGAGAUACCACUCUUUCUUAUUUGGGUAGCUAACCAGCUUGAGUUAUCCUCAAGUGGGACAAUGUCUGGUGGGUAGUUUGACUGGGGCGGUCGCCUCCCAAAUAAU
This 463-nucleotide ribosomal RNA is filed under the name Campylobacter jejuni. Its description in RNAcentral is "bacterial LSU rRNA". It matches the Rfam family "Bacterial large subunit ribosomal RNA", at positions 1836 to 2298 of the family's 2925-position model. Lineage: Bacteria; Pseudomonadati; Campylobacterota; Epsilonproteobacteria; Campylobacterales; Campylobacteraceae. The record is from RNAcentral.